CUCCUUUCUAAGGAUGAUCAAGAAUAGGGCUUUUUUUAAAAAAAAUCCCUCCCUUUUUGAUCUCAUUAGACACAAAGUUUAAACAUGUGUUUGUUUAAACUGUGCAUAUGACGCUAACUCUCAAUGAAUCCCUCUCACCAAAAAGAGACCCCUCUUUGCUAACAAAGAGGAUCCCCCCCCGUCUCUUUGAGGCCCCUACCUCGGAUGAGAGAACUAUUUGAGGGCUUAGUGCUCAUGUGUUGAUACAAUAAAUGCAGGACAUGCCGUCUUCGUUUCUCUUUCUUCAGAUGAUGAUCCCAAGCCUUCUGGCGAUCUCUUAAAAUAAAGCCUAGCCUGCUUUACAAAAAAAACGGGCGUUUAGAUACUCUUUAAAUUCUUAUGAACCUUAAAGAGUAUCCAUUUAAAAAAGGCUUUAUGAAGAAAGCACUUUAAGCUUUUCCAGUGAUUUAAGAUGAUACCGGGGAAGGUUUUCCGGUUUAUCCCGGAGGGCUUGUAGCUCAGUUGGUUAGAGCGCGCGCUUGAUAAGCGUGAGGUCGGAGGUUCAAGUCCUCCCAGGCCCACCAAUUUAUGCUCGUUUUUUGCUUAUCCAAGAGUGUGAAGCUUAAGCUUAUCAAAGCCUCUUUUAAUCUUUGUUUAUUUUAAAGAUUUAAUUUUAUCAUUCAAAGAUUGUUUGUUAAAUUUAUUCUAUUAAGUUUGUCAAAGGGGGAGUUUGUCAAAGGAGGUUUUUAAAUCCCUUCAUUUUGAAAUUCCUUCAAGGGGAUAGGAAAAUUUAAAUGUUGCAAAUCAAAAUAGUCAAAGUCAUUCAAGGUGAUGAGUUUUCUUGAGGUUGAUUUGAAAGAGCAUUAUUUAGGGGCCGUAGCUCAGCUGGGAGAGCACCUGCUUUGCAAGCAGGGGGUCGUCGGUUCGAUCCCGUCCGGCUCCACCACUUUAUGGUUCAUCAUCAUGUUGUAAGAAUAUUGUUUUGCGAGAGGUUUUAUGAACUUCUUGCCUGUUCUAUUGAAAUUGUGAAGAGAAGAUAUAUUCAGACAUGAUUUUUUAUGCUCUGUCUUUAUACAAGAUAGCGUUAUGAAAAAUGAUGUGUCGCAAGGGAAUGCUCAAAGCCCUUGCUUAUGAUUGGAAGCUUAACCGCGCCAUUGAAUAUAUCUCGAGAAGCUGGUCUUUUCUGCUGAUAUCAUUGUUUGUUUUGCGCUUUGUCUUGCACAGGACAAAGAGAUGUAGACAAACAGAUCAACAGACAAAUAACAAAUGCUUUACGCGUUAUUACGUGGAGCGUUUUUAUUGAGAAAAUUGAA
Molecule: transfer RNA, 1292 nt
Filed under: Bartonella sp. RN25BJ
Lineage: Bacteria; Pseudomonadati; Pseudomonadota; Alphaproteobacteria; Hyphomicrobiales; Bartonellaceae
Description: 16S-23S ribosomal RNA intergenic spacer
Rfam family: tRNA (bases 487-560)
Source: RNAcentral